GCACAAGCAGCGGAGCGUGUGGUUUAAUUCGUUGCUACACGAAGAACCUUACCAGGUCUUGACAUCCCGAUGCUAUUCUAGAGAUAGAAAGUUACUUCGGUACAUCGGUGACAGGUGGUGCAUGGUUGUCGUCAGCUCGUGUCGUGAGAUGUUGGGUUAAGUCCCGCAACGAGCGCAACCCCUAUUGUUAGUUGCCAUCAUUCAGUUGGGCACUCUAGCGAGACUGCCGGUAAUAAACCGGAGGAAGGUGGGGAUGACGUCAAAUCAUCAUGCCCCUUAUGACCUGGGCUACACACGUGCUACAAUGGUUGGUACAACGAGUUGCGAGCCGGUGACGGCGAGCUAAUCUCUUAAAGCCAAUCUCAGUUCGGAUUGUAGGCUGCAACUCGCCUACAUGAAGUCGGAAUCGCUAGUAAUCGCGGAUCAGCACGCCGCGGUGAAUACGUUCCCGGGCCUU
This 457-nucleotide ribosomal RNA is filed under the name uncultured Streptococcus sp. RNAcentral's name for it is "bacterial SSU rRNA". It matches the Rfam family "Bacterial small subunit ribosomal RNA", at positions 923 to 1382 of the family's 1533-position model. The record is from RNAcentral. Lineage: Bacteria; Bacillati; Bacillota; Bacilli; Lactobacillales; Streptococcaceae.